Melanotaenia boesemani (Boeseman's rainbowfish) is the source of this 399-nucleotide non-coding RNA. The record is from the annotation of a RefSeq genome assembly. NCBI's taxonomy places the organism in Eukaryota, Metazoa, Chordata, Actinopteri, Atheriniformes, Melanotaeniidae.
UUUCAGUAGAAGAAGAACGGCUGACAUCAGAUCACCUUCAACACCAACAUGUUAUCUGUAGCUCUGCUGCUGCUGCUGGCUACUGGAUCCUAUGUGAAGUGUGAACAGCUGACACAGCCAGCCUCUAUGAUCCUGCAGCCAGGCCAACAGCUGACCAUCACCUGUGAGGUCUCUUAUUCUGUGAAGAACUUUGUCACAGCUUGGAUCAGACAGCCUGCAGGAAAAGUGCUGGAGUGGAUCGGUGAAGGAUGCAGAGAUUGCACAGGAGCCCUUAAAAAUUCACUAAGGAACAAGUUCAGUAUCAGUGCAGACUCUUCCAGUAACAUAAUGACUCUGAAUGGACAGAAAAUGCAGCCUGAAGAUACAGCUGUGUAUUAUUGUGCAAGAGAGCCACAGUGA